RNAcentral lists this ribosomal RNA (165 nucleotides) under uncultured bacterium. RNAcentral's name for it is "partial 16S rRNA". It matches the Rfam family "Bacterial small subunit ribosomal RNA", at positions 355 to 511 of the family's 1533-position model. The record is from RNAcentral.
UAGGGAAUCUUCCACAAUGGGCGAAAGCCUGAUGGAGCAACGCCGCGUGUGUGAUGAUGGGUUUCGGCUCGUAAAACACUGUUGUAACGAGAAGAAUGACAUUGAGAGUAACUGUUCAAUGUGUGACGGUAUCUUACCAGAAAGGAACGGCUAAAUACGUGCCAC